Molecule: long non-coding RNA, 3825 nt
Organism: Nomia melanderi (Alkali bee)
Lineage: Eukaryota; Metazoa; Arthropoda; Insecta; Hymenoptera; Halictidae
Source: RefSeq, a predicted model, not a curated record
GAAGAAUCGUGCGUCGCGUUAGAGGUAACACCCUGUAUAAAGUGCCAAUACGUUUACUGUUACUUAUUGUCGAAGUUAAUCAACUAAAUUCAAAAGUAAGGAUUAAAUUGCUAAUAAAUUGAAAAAUUUAUGAAUAGGAAUUGCUAUGAACCCAAGGAAAUUAGGUGUAAAAGUCACUAACAAUUUAAUCAAGCGAAAAACAAAAGUUAUAAAAUGUUAAAUUGAAUUAAGAGUAAAUUCCAUUGUUGCUAAAAAACUUCAAAGAUAAAAGAGAAUGGUAAAAGAGGUGUCUUGGGUGCCUAAGGUAGAUAAUAGGGAGCAAAAGUUAUUUAAUUAAAACGAAGUACUUGUCUAAUCAGGAAUUCGAAUUAGAAUUAGAGUGGAGAAUCCAGGAGAUCCGUCAAGCUCGUUGGCUCGAUACGAAAUGAAAAUUUUAGUUCACGCUAGCUCUCGUACAUUGUAAUCUAGAGAGAAGGGGUUAUCCCUACCUCAAGUCGAAGAAGAAGUCAUUCUUUAAAUCAUUGAACAGACAUUGUUUGCUGAAGUAAAGAUUUACAAUAGAUUAAUAAUGGUGCACAGUGGUUUAUAAAUUGUUAAUGGUCGUUUAUAAUUGCCAAAAUUAAUAUAUUGUAGAAAUGUUAAUACUCACGUGUGUUCAAUCGUGUUCAAGACUGAUUAUCCGUGAUGUUCGUCAUUGAUCGAAAUAUUUACAAGUUUCGAAUGUAACGCUUAAUUCUGAGUUAUUUUCCUUAUUAGAUAUGAAGAAAUAGAAGAUAAUUCUUGUUUGUUUUUAGAUAUUUUAUUCUAAGAUAAAAGAAUUAAUUUUUGAAGUUAAUAAAAAUAGAACAUUAAUUUCAAUUUAAUUUUAUUUCAUUGGAAUUACUACUAUUUGGAAAAUGCUUGAAAAAAUAUUAUAAUUUUCAUUUCAUUUCUCUUUUAGUAUUUAAUUUUUAAUUGCGAGGGGUUGAAGUUAUUAAUUUUCAUAUUUGAUUAUAUAUUGUUUCCAAAGUACAUAAAUACAAUUCUCUAUAUAAUUACUAUUUGUUACACGGUCGAUAGUAUUUGCUAAUUUCCCAUCAAUUACUUCUCUUUUAUCUGAUUCUGAUAAGCACGCAACUGUUCGAAUAAGAAUGCGACGCUGAACGGCGAAUGAAAAUAAACCAUUAUUAAUUAUACCAUAUUGCGAUCAUAUAUCAAAUAACAUAUGCUACGAAUAGAAAGAAGGUAAUCCUUUUGUCUAAAAAUAAACAAAACAUGAUAACACCGCGGAAUUACAGUCGUGCGAAUUCUCCUCUUUGUGAAACUUAAUUUUGAAAAUUUAUAUAAUUUAUACUAUUUGAUUUAUUGAUAUAGUUUUAAAACUUCGUAGACUUAUUUAUACAUUAACACAAUUUGCUUGUGUUGUAAUUUAAAAACAAACCAUUUCCACUUGCGUAACUAGUUAGAAAUAGUGAUAAUGGAAUGCUUAUUUCAUAAUAUAGCUGAUAAUAUUGAUAAUAAUUAUCAAUUAAAAAUAGCAAAAUCAAUAGCUAGAACACAUAAUAAUGACAAUAGUGACAUUUAUUGCACAUAUAGAAUCUAAGAAUAACAUAAAAUAAAAAAUAUGAAGUGUAUGUGACCUCGAAGAAAUUAAUAAGAGGUUAAAGAUUAAAAACAGAGAAUUCUUCUUAUAUAAAUAUUUUAUUUCACUCUUUUCAAUACACCUUUAUGUAUAGAAUACUUUCAUUUUCAUGUAAUCUAUGCGCGAACUACAUUCCACCUUGUAUCUUACUGUUACUCUCGUUACAGUCAAAUUCUCUUUCCCGAUAUUCAUUCUUUCAUGAUAGAUAAGAUAAGAAACGGAUUAAGUUACCCGGAAAUUAGUGAAAUAUUUUCUUAGCCUUAUUUUGAUACAGUUACUCCAUCGAACAUUCGCUAUACCAAGUAUUUUAAUGCUUCGGUUCCUUGACAGAUAUUUUUAUUUAAUAAUUUUUAUAAUACUUCCCGAUGAUUAUUGUUUUAAAUAUUUCUUUCUAGGAUUUGAAGCAGUAGUUUUUCCCUAUGACAAACAUGAAAAAAGUAGAUUUGUUAUUAUUUUAAUUUACGAUUCAUUGUAUCAAAUCUUAAAACGUUUGAAUACAAUAAUUAUAAUAAUAUACGUAAUAAAAAUAAUCUUAAAAUAUAGAUGAUAUUGUUUUUGAACUUCAACAAGUAAUGUUCGUUGACUUGAGUAUUUUAGAAUUUCUUAUUUUUCACAAUUUUCAGAAUAUUCAACCAACAAAUGAGAAAAGAGUUCAUAAUGUAGCUCGAUAACUGGAAUAUGUCAGUGUUUUCUUUAGUUGUUUUCCACACAUGCGUCUUCGCACAGUUACAAUUAUCUAUACAAAUAAGAAAUAGAACAAAAACUGGUUAUCUGACCUUUCAUUAUAAUUGCUCUCCUGACUAAAGUAAAGGAUUGAAACUCAGUACAAAGUACUUCUUGGUUAACUCUAAUGAACAACUUGUAAACUCUCUGUUAGGCGCUAAUGACCCAAGUGUUGAUGCGACUAUAAAUACUUCUCGACAAACCAUCGGACAGUGAAUUGUCUGUUCAAUUUAAUUCAAGAGCACCUUUUAUUGAACCUCAUCCAGUUAAUACCUUCUCGUUUUAUUCUUAUUUAACGAUGUUUGGAAAUCGCAAGUGCAUAAUAACCGGCAACAUAUGAACAAAUACGCGCAGGAAUCCAAUCAUAUCGAAUGACAUCAACCUUCUCGUUUAUAAUAAAGACGUACAGUUGUUGGGCAACAAUCUUUAUCUAAUGGGUAGAUUUAUCACGAUAUUCACAGUUCCCAGCGAUUUCGUACAACGGGCCACGCUCAGAGAAUCCAAAAACCAAGUGUCACACCGCUGCUGGCCGAGAUAGCGCACGCAGAGGAUUUCGAAUGUCCGUUCACUUCGCCGCGAAGGCACGUUACUUCCUCGUGUAACGAGCCAGAAAGUAGGGGGAAAUAUCGGAUGGAAUGAAUCGUCCACUUUGCAGGUUGUCAGUGGCCACGGACCUUCUAAGAAUGCUAGACGAGUGCGUUCGAAUCGCUUCGAGACCUGUAUCGUGAACACCAUGUGAUUUCCUCUUCCGAAUCUCCGACCACCUGGCCAAUCGAACUCGGAACGAUCUGUUAAGACGUUCACCUUCGCAGCUCAUUAGCCAAGAGGUGUCUGUGAAUAAUACAGUGUUUCGACUCCUUUCGAAAUUUCCUAAUAGUCGACCGCGGUACUUGAUGCAAAUUCAUGUCUCUGUAUUUAGUAAUGUUUUAGUAAACUUUGAUUUUCUUCGCUGAUGGGUUCAGUGAAUGAACUUUAAAAUUGAAACUAUGUUAAGUUUCAAUUAACUUCGCGCUUCUCAAGUGUAUUAGAAGUUUCGAAUGACUUCACUUUUCGUAGGCAGAUUCGAGGAAGAUCGGAGUGGAAUUUGAUUUUCCUCGCUGAAGGAUUCAGAGAAUGAAAUAUAAAAUGUCAAGUUUGAAAGUUGCGCUUUACGAAUGUUUGACAAGUUUCGUUCACCAAUUUUCUCGGAAAUCUGAAGUUUCAUCAACUGAUAUUAGAAUUACUCUGAGUGAUUCCCUUCAUUAUAAAUGUGAAUACCAUUGUCAGUAACAGAACUCCUAUAAGUGUUAGGAGAACGAUUGAAUAAUUUUCAAACAUAAUUACAAUCCUCUUCAUCGUCAAUCAACGAAACUUUCCGCAAAAAAUACUAAUUCAUUCACCAUCUUUACCUUACCGACUCUUAAUCCAUCAAAAUCGAAACUGGAGGCUCAUCAAUCAAGUUUUAAGCCCUCGCUAAAAAUAUAUUUACCCGACACAAUACG